This 466-nucleotide ribosomal RNA is filed under the name Vreelandella stevensii. RNAcentral describes it as "partial 16S ribosomal RNA". It matches the Rfam family "Bacterial small subunit ribosomal RNA", at positions 338 to 795 of the family's 1533-position model. The record is from RNAcentral. Lineage: Bacteria; Pseudomonadati; Pseudomonadota; Gammaproteobacteria; Oceanospirillales; Halomonadaceae.
CCUACGGGCGGCAGCAGUGGGGAAUAUUGGACAAUGGGCGAAAGCCUGAUCCAGCCAUGCCGCGUGUGUGAAGAAGGCCUUCGGGUUGUAAAGCACUUUCAGUGGGGAAGAAAGCCUUGGGGCUAAUACCCUCGAGGAAGGACAUCACCCACAGAAGAAGCACCGGCUAACUCCGUGCCAGCAGCCGCGGUAAUACGGAGGGGUGCGAGCGUUAAUCGGAAUUACUGGGCGUAAAGCGCGCGUAGGCGGUCUGAUAAGCCGGUUGUGAAAGCCCCGGGCUCAACCUGGGAACGGCAUCCGGAACUGUCAGGCUAGAGUGCAGGAGAGGAAGGUAGAAUUCCCGGUGUAGCGGUGAAAUGCGUAGAGAUCGGGAGGAAUACCAGUGGCGAAGGCGGCCUUCUGGACUGACACUGACGCUGAGGUGCGAAAGCGUGGGUAGCAAACAGGAUUAGAUACCCUUGUAGUC